GAUGAACGCUAGCUACAGGCUUAACACAUGCAAGUCGUGGGGCAGCAUGAAGGAAGCUUGCUUCCUUUGAUGGCGACCGGCGCACGGGUGAGUAACGCGUAUCCAACCUUCCCCUUACUAGAGGAUAGCCCGGCGAAAGUCGGAUUAAUACUCUAUGUUCUCCUUUGCAGGCAUCUAAUGAGGAGCAAGGAUUCAUCGGUAAGGGAUGGGGAUGCGUCUGAUUAGCUUGCCGGCGGGGUAACGGCCCACCAAAGCGACGAUCUGUAGCCGGCCUGAGAGGGCGGACGGCCACAUUGGGACUGAGACACGGCCCAAACUCC
RNAcentral lists this ribosomal RNA (320 nucleotides) under uncultured Prevotella sp. RNAcentral's name for it is "bacterial SSU rRNA". It matches the Rfam family "Bacterial small subunit ribosomal RNA", at positions 28 to 339 of the family's 1533-position model. Lineage: Bacteria; Pseudomonadati; Bacteroidota; Bacteroidia; Bacteroidales; Prevotellaceae. The record is from RNAcentral.